GGCUGGUCCAAGUGCAGUGGUGUUUACAACUAAUUGAUCACAACUAGUUACAACGUAUUUCUUUGUUCCUUCUCCACUCCCACCACUUAACUUGACUUGCCCUUA
Molecule: Y RNA, 105 nt
Filed under: Propithecus coquereli (Coquerel's sifaka)
Lineage: Eukaryota; Metazoa; Chordata; Mammalia; Primates; Indriidae
Description: Y RNA (ENSPCOG00000007441.1)
Rfam family: Y RNA
About the family: Y RNAs are components of the Ro ribonucleoprotein particle (Ro RNP), in association with Ro60 and La proteins. The Y RNAs and Ro60 and La proteins are well conserved, but the function of the Ro RNP is not known.
Source: Rfam by way of RNAcentral